UGGGAGCCGGGCGGACAGGCCGCUCGCCAACCCGGUCAGGUCCGGAAGGAAGCAGCCGCAACGAUUCCGGUCUGGGUCGUUCCCGGCUCCCACCC
RNAcentral lists this signal recognition particle RNA (95 nucleotides) under Sphingomonadales bacterium 28-64-96. RNAcentral describes it as "signal recognition particle sRNA small type". It matches the Rfam family "Bacterial small signal recognition particle RNA". Rfam says of the family: The signal recognition particle (SRP) is a universally conserved ribonucleoprotein involved in the co-translational targeting of proteins to membranes. Archaeal SRP consists of a 7S RNA and homologues of the eukaryotic SRP19 and SRP54 proteins. Lineage: Bacteria; Pseudomonadati; Pseudomonadota; Alphaproteobacteria; Sphingomonadales. RNAcentral also lists the same sequence under 1 other name. The record is from RNAcentral.